Long non-coding RNA from Nicotiana tabacum (common tobacco), 1677 nucleotides. RefSeq lists it as uncharacterized. The record is from RefSeq and is a predicted model, not a curated record. Lineage: Eukaryota; Viridiplantae; Streptophyta; Magnoliopsida; Solanales; Solanaceae.
CCCAAGACCUCAAACGGCGCCCCAACCUCCUCCACCUUCUACUGUCGUUUACCACCCCGAUUAUUCCUCAUUCUUUCCUCUCACUCGAAUCUCACGUGCUUCAUCUCUCUCCAACAAAUGAAGGAUUGAUGGGGGUCGUAGGAUUAAGGGGGUUUAAUCCUCUUCGUCUAUCUGUCCCAAGUUAGUUGAUUUCAGAGAGAUUUUUCUCAUUUUUGGGGGAUUUUCAGAUUUAGAAGGUUCGAGAUUUCUGGAGAAAAGAAUAUAUAAGGUUUGCGGACAAGUUUGUCACCGGACUAUCUUGUAAUCGCCUUCUGGCAAAUUAAUCGCAAACUCCCAUUCAGGUUCACAUCUUAUCUUACUAUGUUUAUGUAUGUAUGAAUCAAAGUAUGGUUGGAGCUUAAGAUAUGAAAGUUUAAAUUACAUGGUAUACUUAAGUGAGUGUUAGUGAAUGCCGGCUGUGAUCGAGCUAUUACCAGUUUAUGGAUUUUUGUUUUUUUAUAUGUUAAGGUGUUUAAUUUCUUUAUGUGUUUGAAAUAUGUUUUAAAGUUUGUACUUACUAGAUUUUUACAUGAAUGACUGAUCUUCUAGUCCGCUCUGUGAUUGAUAGGCGAGACAUGUUACUAUUGUGCUUAUUUUUGGUUAUUAGAAGAAUUUCUUGCACAUCUCGAUUCCAAAUUGGAUUCACAAUAAUGUUAAUCAGUGAUUCCUAUUAUAUCCAAACAUCUUGAUUAGUUUAACAUGACAUAUCCAUUAGAGCAUGCCAUUAUGUGUAGGAUUGAAGGAGUCUAUGUUAGUCGUGAAUCAGCGACUUUGGUGUAGCCUUUAAUUGUUUGAAUGAACCCAGUGCACCCAGAAUAGUAAGGUUUGCUACUUAAAGACUUAGUUUCAUUUGUUUACUUUCAUUAACUAUGGAUUCUUACGUUUGAUAUUUCCUAUCUCAAUUUAAAGGUUGAUCUCCAGAAGAUUACUUUUUCUGUUGUUCCUUCUAAUUUUCAUAAUGCCCGUGUGAUGCUCAUUACCACUCUUUAGUGCUGAUUAGUAUAAUUAAAUAACUUUUCUUUUGGUGUAAAUGAAUAGUAAAGUAGCUUCUGUUCUUGAGUUGUAUGGUUAAUGAUAGUUGUUCUUUUGUUAAUAUGUAAAGAAAUGAAUGCCUGCAACUUAAGGAGAUUUACCAUUCUGAAAUUUAGUGUAUCUAAGGCCUAAAUAUGGAUCUGUCUAAGUACAAUUUGAACCAUUUAUUAGCAUUUGCUUUGGUUUAGUUUUAAAAUGCAAACUUCAUGUUAGCUGGGCGUAUUCCAGCAUUUGGCUUGGUUUAACUAUUUAUUUUUUGGUAGUAGACAUUUGCUCAUAUGAUGUUCCAGCAGUCGGUAUUGUGUUUUAAAUCGAAUGGACAGUCUAUUGAAUCUUGCUCUUAUAUUUCCUUAUUGGCAUGCUUUAUUUUAUCUGCUCUAUAGAAUCAUUGUUAUGUUAGGGAUCAUGUGUUGUAUUCUUUCCUUAGGGUGGUGUUGUCUGUUGAAGUUGUCAUACUCAUAGCGGCGAACUAAUACUUACUAUGUGGCGCAUUUGAGUUGGUUCAAUGCUCUGAUCUUUGUAUUACUGGAGUUGGCAUUAAGAAGUUGCCACUAUAUAUUUGAUAAUUAACGUGUUCCUGAUACUGCAAUACAAUAAGAUUUCAUA